Molecule: ribosomal RNA, 468 nt
Filed under: uncultured bacterium
Lineage: Bacteria
Description: partial 16S ribosomal RNA
Rfam family: Bacterial small subunit ribosomal RNA
Source: RNAcentral
GACGAACGCUGGCGGCGUGCUUAACACAUGCAAGUCGAACGGAAAGGCCCUGCUUUUGUGGGGUGCUCGAGUGGCGAACGGGUGAGUAACACGUGAGUAACCUGCCCUUGACUUUGGGAUAACUUCAGAAAACUGGGGCUAAUACCGGAUAGGAGCUCCUGCUGCAUGGUGGGGGUUGGAAAGUUUCGGCGGUUGGGGAUGGACUCGGGGCUUAUCAGCUUGUUGGUGGGGUAGUGGCUUACCAAGGCUUUGACGGGUAGCCGGCCUGGGAGGGUGACCGGGGACAUUGGGACUGAGAGACGGCCCAGACUCCUACGGUAGGCAGCAGUGGGGAAUAUUGCACAAUGGGCGGAAGCCUGAUGCAGCAACGCCGCGUGCGGGAUGACGGCCUUCGGGUUGUAAACCGCUUUCGCUUGUGACGAAGCGUGAGUGACGGUAAUGGGUAAAGAAGCACCGGCUAACUACGUG